ACCGGAGCGCUAGCUUCGGUGGAGGCGCUGGUGGGAUACCGCCCUGACUGUAUUGAAAUUCUAACCUACGGGUCUUAUCGACCCGGGAGACAGUGUCAGGUGGGCAGUUUGACUGGGGCGGUCGCCUCCUAAAGUGUAACGGAGGCGCCCAAAGGUUCCCUCAGAAUGGUUGGAAAUCAUUCGUAGAGUGCAAAGGCAUAAGGGAGCUUGACUGCGAGACCUACAAGUCGAGCAGGGACGAAAGUCGGGCUUAGUGAUCCGGUGGUUCCGCAUGGAAGGGCCAUCGCUCAACGGAUAAAAGCUACCCCGGGGAUAACAGGCUUAUCUCCCCCAAGAGUCCACAUCGACGGGGAGGUUUGGCACCUCGAUGUCGGCUCAUCGCAUCCUGGGGCUGUAGUCGGUCCCAAGGGUUGGGCUGUUCGCCCAUUAAAGCGGUACGCGAGCUGGGUUCAGAACGUCGUGAGACAGUUCGGUCCCUAUCCGUCGUGGGCGUAGGAAAUUUGAGAGGAGCUGUCCUUAGUACGAGAGGACCGGGAUGGACGCACCGCUGGUGUACCAGUUGUUCUGCCAAGGGCAUAGCUGGGUAGCUAUGUGCGGAAGGGAUAAGUGCUGAAAGCAUCUAAGCAUGAAGCCCCCCUCAAGAUGAGAUUUCCCAUAGCGUAAGCUAGUAAGAUCCCUGAAAGAUGAUCAGGUUGAUAGGUUCGAGGUGGAAGCAUGGUGACAUGUGGAGCUGACGAAUACUAAUAGAUCGAGGACUUAACCAU
RNAcentral lists this ribosomal RNA (764 nucleotides) under Bacillus anthracis str. A0174. RNAcentral describes it as "bacterial LSU rRNA". It matches the Rfam family "Bacterial large subunit ribosomal RNA", at positions 2162 to 2925 of the family's 2925-position model. The record is from RNAcentral. Lineage: Bacteria; Bacillati; Bacillota; Bacilli; Caryophanales; Bacillaceae.